This is a long non-coding RNA of Sebastes umbrosus (honeycomb rockfish), 1237 nucleotides long. RefSeq lists it as uncharacterized. Lineage: Eukaryota; Metazoa; Chordata; Actinopteri; Perciformes; Sebastidae. The record is from RefSeq and is a predicted model, not a curated record. The transcript is spliced from 7 exons.
UUUGCUUCUAUACUCUUUGGAGCCGUUGAGAGCUCGCGCCUAGAGGAGCCGAAAACCGCGAAAUCUGAUCUGAGAUCUGCAAAAACUCUCGCGAGACUCGCUGCCCGACGACUUAUCGAGGUCAAAGCCAAACCUUGACAAUCUCGCGAGAUUUUUCCCAGUUUGCGGGCUAGUAGUUGUACUAAUUUUGAGUAUUUUUAAAUAUAACUUUACUUGUACUAUAGUAUUUUUUUGUACUGAAAGCUACUACCAGUAAAACGUCCGCCUACAAAACUGGUUAUAGGCUUGUGUGGACUGGUUCUACUGGGAAAGAGACGCUGUGUGAACUGGUUAUAAUGAUGCACGGAGAAGCAGCACAGAAGUUUUACCUGGAGACUACCUGGAUGACGCUUCUACAGUGUAGUCGCAGUACAAAGGAGCCGCUUCAUGGUCGGCACGAACGGGACGACGCACGACUUUCUCAACAUACACACGAACACCAAGGUCAGAGCCGCAUUACCCAUGAGCCUCCUCUUCUGUGGAGCUCUCCUGGGCGCUACUGCUGCCACCUGUGGAACCCGACCAAUGAGAAGGAGAGCUGGGGUGAGUGAGGGGUGAUGACAUCACACCGAGGCAAUCACGCACACACACAGAGGGUGUUAAAGGUGACGGAGGGCGUUUAAAAAGAGAGGAAACGCGACAAGAUGGCACGAGAGGGACGAAGAAGAAGAAGAAGAAGCAGCAAGGUUCUGCUACAGAACCUUUAACAAAUUCCAUUUCCCAUAAGCCCGAGGGACUGCGAGGGCUCAAAGUCACAGCUCGACAAAAGAGGUUCUGUCUCCCAUAGAAGUUUACAAUACCUAUGGAUGUACAGACAACUACCACUGGAUUACUUUGAUACUGAAGAAAACGUGUCUAUUCUGAGGCGGUUCUGCAGUUACACGCUUGGUCUGACUGUUGGGAAGGAUCUUAAUCUCAGGAGGAUCUGGACUCUGACCGACCCGCGACGCCAUGAGAGCGUUCAGAUACUGGAGACGUGUCACCUACAAACGACGGAGAAAAAGUCUGAAUUGAAUGUUUCAGAGAGAAAGGCUCCAUUCACUUUCUAGAUAAUAGAGACACUCUAAUUAAAUCUUCUGUCAGACUGUAAAUACAAACAUAAUUAUGUAAAGAAUAACCUACAGGUUUUAAAAACCAAAGCAAUGACGCUGUUAUUUGCUCUAUUUUUAAUAAAUGUAUUAAAAAGAAAAAAACACUU